RNAcentral lists this long non-coding RNA (934 nucleotides) under Monodelphis domestica (gray short-tailed opossum). RNAcentral's name for it is "lncRNA (ENSMODG00000038973.1)". Lineage: Eukaryota; Metazoa; Chordata; Mammalia; Didelphimorphia; Didelphidae. The record is from RNAcentral.
CAAUCAACAAAUUAAUUUUAAAAAUGAAUGCUUUAGUUAAUUGUGCUUUCAUAUCAUUUUUCUGUUUCAAAAGGAGUUCAUCUGGAUCUGUGUAAUAAUGGGACCACAGGAAUAGAGCCACAAUGAAACUAGUUCAAUCCCAUCAUUUUACAGCUUUUCCAGAAGAUCCUGAAGAAAGUGAAUUUUCACCAGGAUGCCCCAAAUCCAAACCUAAGGUCUAUCAGAGGCACCUUGAAAAACUGGCAAUAGGAUCCAUCUACCCAUCCAGAAUGAUUGAAGUCCAGUGGCAAAAGUCAAGAUGACUGGCAAUGCUUGGGAUGCAGUGGAUGACCUCAAGGGCAGCUAGAUGGCAUGAUGGAUAGAGGGCCCCACCUAAAAUCAAGAAGAUUUAUCUUCAUGAGUUCAAAUCUCAAAUCUGUCCUCAGAUCCUUCCUACCCCUAUGACUGGAUGGAAAAUGAAAGGAGGAAAAGAAGAAAGGAAGAAUGGAAGGAAGAGAAGGAAGGAAGGAAGAAAAGAAGGAAGGAUAAUGUCCAUUAAUAGAGAAAAGAUAAAAGGAGUUGCAUCAUUUAACUUUUUGCCUUGUCAGUUAUCAUUGUACCAUUCUACUAGCAGUCCUAUCCUAGUCUUGAUUUUUUUCAAGAUUUUCUUAAAUAUGUUUAAAAUCUUGUUUGUUAUCCUUAGUAUUCACCAGCAAUUUUAGCUCAUUUUUCAGGUUAGUUGUCCCGCUGAUCUGUUUGAUGAGAGAUUAUUCCUAUCUUUUCUCUGCUUCUCUGAUUGAUGUCUUCUUUCCCAAUAUCUGGGGAUGUAUGCCAAUCUGCAUAUGUCUUGCCUGCUUUUUUUUUUAGCCACUAUGAAUAAUAUAAUAUUGUGAUUUAUCACAAGACUUCUGUCAUUUAUAGAGUCUGGUAAGCAUUUAGAUCUAUAAAGAAUCUU